AACGUAGGACGCAAGCGUUAUCCGGAGUUACUGGGCGUAAAGCGCGGGCAGGCGGCUCUGUAAGUCUGAUGUGAAAGCGCCCGGCUCAACCGGGCGAGGCCAUUGGAAACUACAAAGCUGGAGGGCAGUAGAGGCAGGCGGAAUUCCGGGAGGAGUGGUGAAAUGCGUAGAGAUCCGGAGGAACACCAGAGGCGAAGGCGGCCUGCUGGGCUGCACCUGACGCUGAGCCGCGAAAGCCAGGGGAGCGAACGGG
This 253-nucleotide ribosomal RNA is filed under the name uncultured bacterium. RNAcentral describes it as "partial 16S ribosomal RNA". It matches the Rfam family "Bacterial small subunit ribosomal RNA", at positions 524 to 776 of the family's 1533-position model. The record is from RNAcentral.